UACGUAGGGUGCAAGCGUUAAUCGGAAUUACUGGGCGUAAAGCGUGCGCAGGCGGUCUUGUAAGUCUGACGUGAAAUCCCCGGGCUCAACCUGGGAAUUGCAUUGGAGACUGCAAGGCUAGAAUCUGGCAGAGGGGGGUAGAAUUCCACGUGUAGCAGUGAAAUGCGUAGAGAUGUGGAGGAACACCGAUGGCGAAGGCAGCCCCCUGGGUCAAGAUUGACGCUCAUGCACGAAAGCGUGGGGAGCAAACAGG
RNAcentral lists this ribosomal RNA (253 nucleotides) under uncultured bacterium. Its description in RNAcentral is "partial 16S ribosomal RNA". It matches the Rfam family "Bacterial small subunit ribosomal RNA", at positions 524 to 776 of the family's 1533-position model. The record is from RNAcentral.